RNAcentral lists this unclassified non-coding RNA (346 nucleotides) under rhizosphere metagenome. Its description in RNAcentral is "partial ribosomal RNA internal transcribed spacer region". The record is from RNAcentral.
GUAGGUGAACCUGCGGAAGGAUCAUUAUCACGUAUCCACGUAUAAACCAUUGUGAACCGUUUUUUUAUUAACCUUUGUUCUCGGAUAAGAUAGUUUGCGAAUUAAACAUUUUACAAACAGCACUAGUAAUUGAGCUGUUGUUUAAAUCGCCGCAGUCGGUGUUUUCUCUCCGGAGUUCCCGAUCGCACUUACUGAGAAUCAAAGUGUAUUCAAUUACUUAAACUAUCAUUAACCAUUUUAACCCAAUCUUUAUAACUUUAUUGAACUAACUUUAUUUUAUACUCUUCGGAGAUAAAAUUCAUUACGAAACAAAGAACAACUCUUAGCAACGGAUAUCUUGGUUCUC